GAGUUUGAUCGUGGCUCAGAUUGAACGCUGGCGGCAUGCCUUACACAUGCAAGUCGAACGGCAGCAUGAUCUAGCUUGCUAGAUUGAUGGCGAGUGGCGAACGGGUGAGUAAUACAUCGGAACGUGCCCUGUAGUGGGGGAUAACUAGUCGAAAGAUUAGCUAAUACCGCAUACGACCUGAGGGUGAAAGUGGGGGACCGCAAGGCCUCAUGCUAUAGGAGCGGCCGAUGUCUGAUUAGCUAGUUGGUGGGGUAAAGGCCCACCAAGGCGACGAUCAGUAGCUGGUCUGAGAGGACGAUCAGCCACACUGGGACUGAGACACGGCCCAGACUCCUACGGGAGGCAGCAGUGGGGAAUUUGGACAAUGGGCGAAAGCCUGAUCCAGCAAUGCCGCGUGUGUGAAGAAGGCC
RNAcentral lists this ribosomal RNA (410 nucleotides) under uncultured microorganism. RNAcentral's name for it is "bacterial SSU rRNA". It matches the Rfam family "Bacterial small subunit ribosomal RNA", at positions 9 to 416 of the family's 1533-position model. The record is from RNAcentral.